AUUGAACGCUGGCGGCAGGCCUAACACAUGCAAGUCGAGCGGAUGAAGGGAGCUUGCUCCUGGAUUCAGCGGCGGACGGGUGAGUAAUGCCUAGGAAUCUGCCUGGUAGUGGGGGAUAACGUCCGGAAACGGGCGCUAAUACCGCAUACGUCCUGAGGGAGAAAGUGGGGGAUCUUCGGACCUCACGCUAUCAGAUGAGCCUAGGUCGGAUUAGCUAGUUGGUGGGGUAAAGGCCUACCAAGGAGACGAUCCGUAACUGGUCUGAGAGGAUGAUCAGUCACACUGGAACUGAGACACGGUCCAGACUCCUACGGGAGGCAGCAGUGGGGAAUAUUGGGCAGUGGGCGAAAGCCUGAUCCAGCCAGGCCGCGUGUGUGAAGAAGGUCUUCGGAUUGUAAAGCACUUUAAGUUGGGAGGAAGGGCAGUAAGUUAAUACCUUGCUGUUUUGACGUUACCAACAGAAGAAGCACCGGCUAACUUCGUG
Molecule: ribosomal RNA, 484 nt
Filed under: uncultured bacterium
Lineage: Bacteria
Description: partial 16S ribosomal RNA
Rfam family: Bacterial small subunit ribosomal RNA
Source: RNAcentral